CCGAGGGACGAAACUCGGAGGAAGGUGGGGAUGACGUCAAAUCAUCAUGCCCCUUAUGUCCUGGGCUACACACGUGCUACAAUGGCUGGUACAAAGAGACGCAAGACCGCGAGGUGGAGCAAAUCUCAAAAAACCAGUCCCAGUUCGGAUUGCAGGUUGCAACUCGCCUGCAUGAAGUCGGAGUUGCUAGUAAUCGCAGAUCAGCAUACUGCGGUGAAUACGUUCCCGGGCCUU
RNAcentral lists this ribosomal RNA (234 nucleotides) under uncultured Eubacteriales bacterium. RNAcentral's name for it is "uncultured Clostridiales bacterium partial 16S ribosomal RNA". It matches the Rfam family "Bacterial small subunit ribosomal RNA", at positions 1152 to 1382 of the family's 1533-position model. Lineage: Bacteria; Bacillati; Bacillota; Clostridia; Eubacteriales. The record is from RNAcentral.